Molecule: ribosomal RNA, 468 nt
Filed under: uncultured bacterium
Lineage: Bacteria
Description: partial 16S ribosomal RNA
Rfam family: Bacterial small subunit ribosomal RNA
Source: RNAcentral
GACGAACGCUGGCGGCGUGCUUAACACAUGCAAGUCGAACGGAAAGGCCCUGCUUUUGUGGGGUGCUCGAGUGGCGAACGGGUGAGUAACACGUGAGUAACCUGCCCUUGACUUUGGGAUAACUUCAGGAAACUGGGGCUAAUACCGGAUAGGAGCUCCUGCUGCAUGGUGGGGGUUGGAAAGUUUCGGCGGUUGGGGAUGGACUCGCGGCUUAUCAGCUUGUUGGUGGGGUAGUGGCUUACCAAGGCUUUGACGGGUAGCCGGCCUGAGAGGGUGACCGGCCACAUUGGGACUGAGAUACGGCCCAGACUCCUACGGGAGGCAGCAGUGGGGAAUAUUGCACAAUGGGCGGAAGCCUGAUGCAGCAACGCCGCGUGCGGGAUGACGGCCUUCGGGUUGUAAACCGCUUUCGCCUGUGACGAAGCGUGUGUGACGGUAAUGGGUAAAGAAGCACCGGCUAACUACGUG